Molecule: transfer RNA, 77 nt
Filed under: Acidobacteriota bacterium
Lineage: Bacteria; Pseudomonadati; Acidobacteriota
Also listed under: 2 other names
Description: Acidobacteria bacterium tRNA-Arg
Rfam family: tRNA
About the family: Transfer RNA (tRNA) molecules are approximately 80 nucleotides in length. Their secondary structure includes four short double-helical elements and three loops (D, anti-codon, and T loops). Further hydrogen bonds mediate the characteristic L-shaped molecular structure. tRNAs have two regions of fundamental functional importance: the anti-codon, which is responsible for specific mRNA codon recognition, and the 3' end, to which the tRNAs corresponding amino acid is attached (by aminoacyl-tRNA synthetases). tRNAs cope with the degeneracy of the genetic code in two manners: having more than one tRNA (with a specific anti-codon) for a particular amino acid; and 'wobble' base-pairing, i.e. permitting non-standard base-pairing at the 3rd anti-codon position.
Source: RNAcentral
GCGCCCGUAGCUCAGCUGGAUAGAGCGUUAGACUCCGGAUCUAAAGGCCGUGGGUUCGAAUCCCGCCGGGCGCACCA